This 1535-nucleotide long non-coding RNA is filed under the name Calidris pugnax (ruff). Its description in RNAcentral is "lncRNA (ENSCPUG00000018198.1)". The record is from RNAcentral. Lineage: Eukaryota; Metazoa; Chordata; Aves; Charadriiformes; Scolopacidae.
CCCUGACAAGAGGCUGGGGAGAUGGGGGGGNNNNNNNNNNNNNNNNNNNNNNNNNNNNNNNNNNNNNNNNNNNNNNNNNNNNNNNNNNNCCUCUCAUUAAAACGGAUUAAUUUAUUAUUUUUUGGGCGUUGCUUUGUCCCUCGGGAAGAGCCGGUGGCCGUGACCCCCCCUCCCCAAGCGCCCCCCCCUGAGUUACAGCCGCGCCGCCCCCGGCACGGCACCGAAACACUUAAAAAAACCCAAAAAACACCCCUAAAAAAACCCCAAAACCCCCACUGCGGCCGGGAUGGGGGGAAGGAUUCCCCAAAACCUCCAUCCCAGUUGGGUUUGGGGAAUGGGGGGAUCCCCCAAAACCUUCGUUCCAGUUUGGGGAAUGGGGGGAUCCCCCAAAACCUCCAUCCCAGUUGGGUUCAGGGGAUGGGGAGGGUUGGAGGGGAUCCCCCAAAACCUCCAUCCCAGUUGGGUUUGGGGGAUAAAGGGGGACCCCUUCCCAGUUCAGGGCUGGGUGAGCUGGAUGCCGAAGACGUCGGGGUGGCGGUGCCGGUGGAGACAGGUGGCUUCGGAAGACCCUUCGGCGUCGCGCACGUUGUACUCCCCCUUCUUACACGCCGUGGUCUUCAGGUAGUAACCCCCGGCGGCCACCAAACCCACUGCUGUCACGGCCCCCAAGGAGCCCAAUGAGGCCACCAGGGCCAACCGACUCUCUGUGGGGCCAGAAGGUGCUGGUGACACCAUGGUGGUGGCCACGGCCCCCAAGGAGCCCAACGAGGCCACCAGGGUCAACCUAGACUAUAUUGGGCCAGAAGGUGCCGGUGACACCACGGUGGUGGCCACGGCCCUGAAGGAGCCCAACGAGGCCACCAGGGCCAACCCACUCUCUGUUGGGCCAGAAGGUGCCGGUGACACCACGGUGGUGGCCACGGCCCCCAAGGAGCCCAGCGAGGCCACCAGGGCCAACCCACUCUCUGUUGGGCCAGAAGGUGCCGGUGACACCACGGUGGUGGCCACGGCCCCCAAGGAGCCCAACGAGGCCACCAGGGCCAGAAGGUGCCGGUGACACCACAGUGGUGGCCACGGCCCCCAAGGAGCCCAACGAGGCCACCAGGGCCAACCGACUCUCUGUGGGGCCAGAAGGUGCCGGUGACACCACGGUGGUGGCCACGGCCCCCAAGGAGCCCAACGAGGCCACCAGGGCCAGAAGGUGCCGGUGCCACCACAGUGGUGGCCACGGCCCCCAAGGAGCCCAACGAGGCCACCAGGCCCAACCGACUCUCUUUUGGGCCAGAAGGUGCUGGUGACACCACGGUGGUGGCCACGACCGCCCCCCAACUUCAUUUUACCACCAACCCCCCCAUCCCCUCCUUCCAUAUUCUCCAUCCUUGGAUAUCUCACCGUCCACGUGGACCACCACGCUGCCGGCUCGCCGGCCGUGCCUGUUGGUGGCCGUGCAGGUGUAGAGGCCCCGGUUGACGGCGGCGGCGCCGGCCACGGCCACCGAGCGGUUGUCGGGGGCCAGGCGGAGGUUGGGGGCGGGG